GAUGAACGCUAGCUACAGGCUUAACACAUGCAAGUCGCGGGGCAGCAUUUCUUUAGCUUGCUAAGGAAGAUGGCGACCGGCGCACGGGUGAGUAACGCGUAUCCAACCUGCCCUUGUCCACGGGAUAACCCGGUGAAACCGGCCUAAUACCGUAUGAGGUCACAAGCGGACAUCCAACUGUGACGAAAGGUUUGGCGGACAAGGAUGGGGAUGCGUCCGAUUAGGUAGUCGGCGGGGUAACGGCCCACCGAGCCGACGAUCGGUAGGGGUUCUGAGAGGAAGGUCCCCCACAUUGGAACUGAGACACGGUCCAAACUCCUACGGGAGGCAGCAGUGAGGAAUAUUGGUCAAUGGGCGGAAGCCUGAACCAGCCAAGUAGCGUGCAGGAAGACGGCCCUAUGGGUUGUAAACUGCUUUCAGUCGGGGAAUAAACUCGUCGGUCGUGACCGACGUUGCAGGUACCGUCAUAAGAAGGACCGGCUAAUUCCGUG
RNAcentral lists this ribosomal RNA (491 nucleotides) under uncultured bacterium. RNAcentral's name for it is "bacterial SSU rRNA". It matches the Rfam family "Bacterial small subunit ribosomal RNA", at positions 28 to 507 of the family's 1533-position model. The record is from RNAcentral.